CUCGUAGACGGUUCGUCGCGUCCGGUGUGAAAGUCCAUCGCUUGACGGUGGAUCCGCGCCGGGUACGGGCGGGCUUGAGUGCGGUAGGGGAGACUGGAAUUCCCGGUGUAACGGUGGAAUGUGUAGAUAUCGGGAAGAACACCAAUGGCGAAGGCAGGUCUCUGGGCCGUCACUGACGCUGAGGAGCGAAAGCGUGGGGAGCGAACA
RNAcentral lists this ribosomal RNA (207 nucleotides) under uncultured bacterium. RNAcentral describes it as "partial 16S ribosomal RNA". It matches the Rfam family "Bacterial small subunit ribosomal RNA", at positions 568 to 774 of the family's 1533-position model. The record is from RNAcentral.